UAUUAAAUAUUUUAUAUAUUAAUAUAUUAUAUUUUAUAUAUUAAUAAUAUUUAAAUUUUUAUUUAUUUUA
RNAcentral lists this transfer RNA (70 nucleotides) under Vespula rufa. Its description in RNAcentral is "tRNA-Pro". The record is from RNAcentral. Lineage: Eukaryota; Metazoa; Arthropoda; Insecta; Hymenoptera; Vespidae.